UGGGGGAUAUUGCACAAUGGGGGAAACCCUGAUGCAGCAACGCCGCGUGAGUGAAGAAGUAUUUCGGUAUGUAAAGCUCUAUCAGCAGGGAAGAGAAUGACGGUACCUGACUAAGAAGCCCCGGCUAACUACGUGCCAGCAGCCGCGGUAAUACGUAGGGGGCGAGCGUUAUCCGGAUUUACUGGGUGUAAAGGGAGCGUAGACGGCUGGUCAAGUCUGAAGUGAAAGCCCGGGGCUUAACCCCGGAACGGCUUUGGAAACUGAGCAGCUAGAGUGCUGGAGAGGUAAGCGGAAUUCCUAGUGUAGCGGUGAAAUGCGUAGAUAUUAGGAGGAACACCAGUGGCGAAGGCGGCUUACUGGACAGUAACUGACGUUGAGGCUCGAAAGCGUGGGGAGCAAACAGG
RNAcentral lists this ribosomal RNA (404 nucleotides) under uncultured bacterium. Its description in RNAcentral is "bacterial SSU rRNA". It matches the Rfam family "Bacterial small subunit ribosomal RNA", at positions 355 to 776 of the family's 1533-position model. The record is from RNAcentral.